This is a long non-coding RNA of Cucumis melo (muskmelon), 246 nucleotides long. RefSeq lists it as uncharacterized. The transcript has 3 exons. The record is from RefSeq and is a predicted model, not a curated record. NCBI's taxonomy places the organism in Eukaryota, Viridiplantae, Streptophyta, Magnoliopsida, Cucurbitales, Cucurbitaceae.
GUUUGGACCAAGUGAUUUUAGAGCGUGGGAUUUCUCCAGUUAAGGGCUCAAUUGUUGCAACCUCGACCUCGGGACUUUGCUGCUUGGAAAGCGUGAUUUUACUAUUAGAAUUCGAUUGAGCAAAUCUCCAGACAGAUGCAGAGGUAAGAGCAAAGGCAAGCUGGCGAAUGACGAGAAGUGACCGUGGCGAACCAUAGGGAUACGUUUGCUUCUGCUUUAUGUCAUAUUUCGAAUUUUAGCGUUGCA